AAAUGAAUUGACGGGGGCCCGCACAAGCGGUGGAGCAUGUGGUUUAAUUCGACGCAACGCGAAGAACCUUACCAGCCUUUGACAUGGACAUUAGGAUCGAUAGAGAUAUUGGUUUUCAUUUAGUUGGGUGUCACACAGGUGCUGCAUGGCUGUCGUCAGCUCGUGUCGUGAGAUGUUGGGUUAAGUCCCGCAACGAGCGCAACCCUCGCCUUUAGUUGCCAUCAUUUAGUUGGGCACUCUAAAGGAACUGCCUAUGAUAAGUAGGAGGAAGGUGGGGAUGACGUCAAGUCCUCAUGGCCCUUACAGGCUGGGCUACACACGUGCUACAAUGGUUAUUACAGAGGGAAGCAAACUUGAGAGAGUAAGCAAAUCCCGUAAAAAUAAUCUCAGUUCGGAUUGAGCUCUGCAACUCGAGCUCAUGAAGUUGGAAUCGCUAGUAAUCGUGGAUCAGCAUGCCACGGUGAAUACGUUCCCGGGCCUUGUACACACCGCCCGU
This 496-nucleotide ribosomal RNA is filed under the name uncultured bacterium. RNAcentral's name for it is "bacterial SSU rRNA". It matches the Rfam family "Bacterial small subunit ribosomal RNA", at positions 903 to 1397 of the family's 1533-position model. The record is from RNAcentral.